This 570-nucleotide long non-coding RNA is filed under the name Helianthus annuus (common sunflower). Lineage: Eukaryota; Viridiplantae; Streptophyta; Magnoliopsida; Asterales; Asteraceae. The record is from RNAcentral.
AUGGAAGGUCUAUAAAUACCACCAUACCAUAACUCCAUCAUUCCACACUCAACACUACACUCCAUCUCCUCCCUCCUUCCCCAAAUCGGCAGCCAUCAACCACCACCCUACCACCAUCAUUCGACCUUGUUCCAUCCAUUCUAUUACCAUACAAGGGUGCAAGGAGACACACAACGAAGCUUGGUGCGUUCGGAAGUCGAAGGACCGCUCUCGUUUUCUUUUAUCCACCACUUUUCUACACUCGAACUCCCCUAGCCUUGUGCUAGUAGUAAGUUCCUUAGAUCUUCAUCUUGUUCAUGUUUUUAUGUAGUGAAGUUGCUUAGUCUUGAUUGCGAAUAGGAAGCAUGCUCACUUAGGACCGGACGAGGCCUUAGUGAUUUAAUAAUGAUAUUAGUCUAUGUUUGAUUUGCUUGUUUAACUUUAAAACAAUGUUUAAUAUUUAAUGAAAUGAAACUCUUCGUAUCCAUGGUUUGAAACAAUAAUUCUGUUACAACACUCCCCGGCGUUUCCGCCACGAUUUGUCAUUUUACGUGGUCGGGGUGUGACAGAAGAGUUGGUAUCAGAGCCAAU